This is a long non-coding RNA of Mandrillus leucophaeus (drill), 742 nucleotides long. RefSeq lists it as uncharacterized. The transcript has 4 exons. The record is from RefSeq and is a predicted model, not a curated record. NCBI's taxonomy places the organism in Eukaryota, Metazoa, Chordata, Mammalia, Primates, Cercopithecidae.
AUUCGAGGCGACGGGCUCCGGGCCCUGAUAGAUGGGGUGCGGGGACGGAGACAAAUGACGGCCUUUAGGCUCGGAAUACCUACCUUUCUGGUAAUGUGGCCCAGCAGGUCCCAGCCUCGUUUUCCAGCCCUUACUCAAAUGGAGUCGCUCUGGUUCGAACACCUCUGACAAGUGUGUGCCUGCGUGUCAGGCCCAUCCUUCCUGCAGGCUUUGUUUUGGUGUCACCCUGCCUGAGCUGGCCCCAACCACAGUAACAACAGUGAUGCUGAUGGGUGACUGCUCCCUGGAGCCUGCUCACGUGACCAUGUAGAGAAAGUUCUUUCUCUGAGGACCAUCUGGAAUGGAUGCGUGCACUAACCCUCUCUGAAUACACCCUCCCCAUGGGGCCCUCUGAAGCAUCCCGUAGAGCCAGCCCCUACCCAGAGACCCUGAGUCCAGAGAAUGCGCUGGGUGGUGAGGCUGGGGACGGAUGCAGAGCCCUAGGUCUCCUCCCCAGAAAGACCGUGUUUUGCCAUGUUGGCCAGGCUGGUCUUGAACUCUUGACCUCAAGUGAUCCACCUGCCCUGGCCUCCCAAAGUGCAGGGAUUAUAUAGGUGUGAGCCACCACACCCAGCCUCAGGAAGGAAUUUUUAACAGCCGAAUCCUCUUCCACUGUGCACUGUUCACGUUCAUCGUCAGUUCCCCUGGAUGGGUGUUUAAGGCAUUUCCAAAGUUCUGAUAUUAAAAACACGGAUGCAGUGAG